UGUCCAAAAGUUCGCGUGACUUUAGCA
Molecule: small RNA, 27 nt
Filed under: Bombyx mori (domestic silkworm)
Lineage: Eukaryota; Metazoa; Arthropoda; Insecta; Lepidoptera; Bombycidae
Description: ovarian small RNA-8994
Source: RNAcentral